GGAUUCCCCUAGUAACUGCGAGUGAAGCGGGAAAAGCUCAAAUUUAAAAUCUGUCAGUCUUUGACUGUCCGAGUUGUAAUCUAGAGAAGUGUUAUCCGCGCUGGACCGUGUACAAGUCUCCUGGAAUGGAGCGUCAUAGAGGGUGAGAAUCCCGUCUUUGACACGGACUGCCAGGGCUCUGUGAUGCGCUCUCAAAGAGUCGAGUUGUUUGGGAAUGCAGCUCAAAAUGGGUGGUAAAUUCCAUCUAAAGCUAAAUAUUGGCGAGAGACCGAUAGCGAACAAGUACCGUGAGGGAAAGAUGAAAAGAACUUUGGAAAGAGAGUUAAACAGUACGUGAAAUUGCUGAAAGGGAAACGCUUGAAGUCAGUCGCGUUGUCCAGGGAUCAACCUUGCUUUUGCUUGGUGUACUUUCUGGUUGACGGGUCAGCAUCAAUUUUGACUGUUGGAAAAAGGUCAAGGGAAUGUGGCAUCUUCGGAUGUGUUAUAGCCCUUGGUUGCAUACAAUGGUUGGGAUUGAGGAACUCAGCACGCCGCAAGGCCGGGUAUUAACCACGUACGUGCUUAGGAUGCUGGCAUAAUGGCUUUAAUCGACCCGUCUUGAAACACGGACCAAGGAGUCUAACAUGCGUGCGAGUGUUUGGGUGGAAAACUCGAGCGCGUAAUGAAAGUGAAAGUUGAGAUCCCUGUCGUGGGGAGCAUCGACGCCCGGACCAGACCUUUUGUGACGGUUCCGCGGUAGAGCAUGUAUGUUGGGACCCGAAAGAUGGUGAACUAUGCCUGAAUAGGGUGAAGCCAGAGGAAACUCUGGUGGAGGCUCGUAGCGAUUCUGACGUGCAAAUCGAUCGUCAAAUUUGGGUAUAGGGGCGAAAGACUAAUCGA
This 879-nucleotide ribosomal RNA is filed under the name Phlegmacium olidum. Its description in RNAcentral is "eukaryotic LSU rRNA". It matches the Rfam family "Eukaryotic large subunit ribosomal RNA", at positions 72 to 938 of the family's 3401-position model. Lineage: Eukaryota; Fungi; Basidiomycota; Agaricomycetes; Agaricales; Cortinariaceae. The record is from RNAcentral.